UGACUGAUUCUCCUUUUCUGGGCUGC
This 26-nucleotide non-coding RNA is filed under the name Mus musculus (house mouse). Lineage: Eukaryota; Metazoa; Chordata; Mammalia; Rodentia; Muridae. The record is from RNAcentral.